CAAUAGCGUAUAUUAAAGUUGUUGCGGUUAAAAAGCUCGUAGUUGGAUUUCUGCUGAGAACGACCGGUCCGCCCUUUGGGUGUGUAUCUGGCUCUUUCUUGGCAUCUUCUUGGUGAACGUUGCUGCACUUGACUGUGUGGAGCGCUACCCAGGACUUUUACUUUGAGGAAAUUAGAGUGUUUCAAGCAGGCAUACGCCUUGAAUACAUUAGCAUGGAAUAAUAAGAUAGGACCUCGGUUCUAUUUUGUUGGUUUCUAGAGCUGAGGUAAUGAUUAAUAGGGAUAGUUGGGGGCAUUCGUAUUUAACUGUCGGAGGUGAAAUUCUUGGAUUUGUUAAAGACGGACUACUGCGAAAGUAUUUGCCAAGGAUGUUUUCAUUGA
This 380-nucleotide ribosomal RNA is filed under the name uncultured eukaryote. Its description in RNAcentral is "partial 18S ribosomal RNA". It matches the Rfam family "Eukaryotic small subunit ribosomal RNA", at positions 592 to 976 of the family's 1831-position model. The record is from RNAcentral.